Molecule: ribosomal RNA, 494 nt
Filed under: uncultured bacterium
Lineage: Bacteria
Description: bacterial SSU rRNA
Rfam family: Bacterial small subunit ribosomal RNA
Source: RNAcentral
GAUGAACGCUAGCGACAGGCUUAACACAUGCAAGUCGAGGGGCAGCGGGGGCGAAAGCUUGCUUUCGCCUGCCGGCGACCGGCGCACGGGUGAGUAACACGUAUGCAACCUGCCCGCAGCAGGGGGAUAAGCCGGAGAAAUCCGGUCUAAUACCGCGUAAAACCCUGAGGGGACAUCCCCAUGGGGUCAAAGGAGCAAUCCGGCUGCGGAUGGGCAUGCGUCGCAUUAGGCAGUUGGCGGGGUAACGGCCCACCAAACCGACGAUGCGUAGGGGUUCUGAGAGGAAGGUCCCCCACACUGGUACUGAGACACGGACCAGACUCCUACGGGAGGCAGCAGUGAGGAAUAUUGGUCAAUGGGCGGAAGCCUGAACCAGCCAAGUCGCGUGAGGGAAGACGCUCCUAUGGAUUGUAAACCUCUUUUGCCGGGGAGCAAGCCGGGUCUGCGGACCCGCGUUGAGAGUACCCGGAGAAAAAGCAUCGGCUAACUCCGUG